CCUAGCUCUGAUUCAAACGAAUCCUAGGUUUUUCGCCCCAGAUCUGACAACGUCCUACGGAUAACCAUUCUUUAGAAGGGCUUCUGCUUCGAAAAUCUAUUUAAAUAGCUGUCAUCGCUUUCAUUAAGUCACUUUCGCUGAGCUGUUCCUUGGGAUGUGAGCUCUCAUACGAUUACAUCAUGCUGCACAGGAAUUCAGACCACGUGGUAGCGAAUAUGGGAAUGUUGAAGUUGGAAAAAAGGAUACCUCAUCUAACCUGGAAAAGCUAAACUACCUCUACUCUUGCAGCAACAUUCUGAGUAAAGGUUGUUGCUGUAUUCACAAUUGUUGGGAGAAAAAGGGAUAAGAGCUGGCUUUACCUUCCAAUUGUUGUGAGCUGGGGCUUUUUACUCAGGUUGUAUUAGGACCCCAUUGAUCUCCAAACGCAAGCUCUUGGAGUCCUCUUCACAUUUUGCUAUGCUUGAUUUUAAUGGAUAAGGGCUGGCUUUACCUUCCAAUUGUUGUGAGCUGGGGCUUUUUACUCAGGUUGUAUUAGGACCCCAUUGAUCUCCAAACGCAAGCUCUUGGAGUCCUCUUCACAUUUUGCUAUGCUUGAUUUUAUGGGUGCAAAACAUGUUGCUCGUUGGUCACAUGCCCCACAUAACACUCAGUGGGAACGUCUCGGUAUUGCGGAAAAUGUCAUCUCUGGUUAUGAAAGGUGUAUUGAUACCGUCGCACCUGUACUGUGUGACAAGUGCACGUUCCGAUUGUAGUCGUUGGAAGAAAUUGGCUGUAUCAGACUACGAAGUAAAGACUACGAACGGCUAUAAACCCCUUGAAGCUAUGCUCGUCCUAUGCCGUAUGGUGGCGCGUCGAACGAACUUUCUGAAAGCCAUUAUAUUUUCUCGUUUGCUUACUGAUUUGGGUCUUCACACACCGUAAACUUGUAAGUAAACCAUUAACCUUUCAAUGUUGUAUUUUUUUGUAGAUAUAGCUUAGAUAUUCCCCUUGUUGUGUGAAUUUUUUUUAAUUUCUAUCUGAUCUCUAGUCAUGAUCUAUAAAUUCCUUUAUUCCACCCCCUUUUCUUUCUUUCUUUUGAAAAAGGGGGUUGGGGAAAAAGGGGGUGGUUCGACGCGCCACCAUACGGCAUAGGACGAGCAUAGCUUUGAUCAUUCCUCUCAGCCCUAUCCCCGAUCGUAGUCUUUACUUCGUAGUCUGUGUCAUUACUAGUUUUCAUUUUUUUUUCUCAACUGUAGUGCCAGUACCUUCUGGUAGUAAGCUGGGUAAUAAAUAACUCUUAAAAUAUUAAUACUAAAUCUAAGUCAAAGCUAACCUGAUUUUCGACAUUCAUGUUUAAUUUUGAAUAAAAAUCAUAUUUUUUUAUAUGAAUAUCCAUGUAUUUGAAAUAAAGAAAAGGUCGAGCUUU
This is a long non-coding RNA of Daphnia magna, 1405 nucleotides long. RefSeq lists it as uncharacterized. The record is from RefSeq and is a predicted model, not a curated record. The transcript is spliced from 10 exons. NCBI's taxonomy places the organism in Eukaryota, Metazoa, Arthropoda, Branchiopoda, Diplostraca, Daphniidae.